UGGGGAAUCUUCCGCAAUGGACGAAAGUCUGACGGAGCAACGCCGCGUGUAUGAUGAAGGUCUUCGGAUUGUAAAGUACUGUCAUUGGGGAAGAACGGUUUUCUUGAGAAUAUUGAGAAGACAUGACGGUACCCAAGGAGGAAGCCCCGGCUAACUACGUGCCAGCAGCCGCGGUAAUACGUAGGGGGCAAGCGUUGUCCGGAAAUUAUUGGGCGUAAAGGGCGCGUAGGCGGGCCUUUAAGUCCGGUGUGAAAGAUUCAGGGCUCAACCCUGAGAGUGCAUCGGAAACUGAGGCUUGAGGACAGGAGAGGAAAGUGGAAUUCCACGUGUAGCGGUGAAAUGCGUAGAUAUGUGGAGGAACACCAGUGGCGAAGGCGACUUUCUGGACUGUAACUGACGCUGAGGC
RNAcentral lists this ribosomal RNA (406 nucleotides) under uncultured bacterium. Its description in RNAcentral is "partial 16S ribosomal RNA". It matches the Rfam family "Bacterial small subunit ribosomal RNA", at positions 355 to 752 of the family's 1533-position model. The record is from RNAcentral.